GACUCCUUGGUGUAGUGGUUAGCGCACCCGUCUGGAAAGCGGGAGGUCGUAGGCUUAAAUCUUACCGGUGUCU
Molecule: transfer RNA, 73 nt
Filed under: Oryctes borbonicus
Lineage: Eukaryota; Metazoa; Arthropoda; Insecta; Coleoptera; Scarabaeidae
Rfam family: tRNA
About the family: Transfer RNA (tRNA) molecules are approximately 80 nucleotides in length. Their secondary structure includes four short double-helical elements and three loops (D, anti-codon, and T loops). Further hydrogen bonds mediate the characteristic L-shaped molecular structure. tRNAs have two regions of fundamental functional importance: the anti-codon, which is responsible for specific mRNA codon recognition, and the 3' end, to which the tRNAs corresponding amino acid is attached (by aminoacyl-tRNA synthetases). tRNAs cope with the degeneracy of the genetic code in two manners: having more than one tRNA (with a specific anti-codon) for a particular amino acid; and 'wobble' base-pairing, i.e. permitting non-standard base-pairing at the 3rd anti-codon position.
Source: Rfam by way of RNAcentral